RNAcentral lists this ribosomal RNA (253 nucleotides) under uncultured bacterium. RNAcentral describes it as "partial 16S ribosomal RNA". It matches the Rfam family "Bacterial small subunit ribosomal RNA", at positions 524 to 776 of the family's 1533-position model. The record is from RNAcentral.
UACAGAGGGUGCGAGCGUUGUCCGGAAUUAUUGGGCGUAAAGAGCUCGUAGGCGGUCUGUUGCGUCCGCUGUGAAAACUCGGGGCUUAACCCCGAGCCUGCAGUGGAUACGGGCAGACUAGAGGUAGGUAGGGGAGAAUGGAAUUCCCGGUGUAGCGGUGAAAUGCGCAGAUAUCGGGAGGAACACCGGUGGCGAAGGCGGUUCUCUGGGCCUUACCUGACGCUGAGGAGCGAAAGCGUGGGGAGCGAACAGG